GUGUCAGCCGCCGCGGUAAGACGGACCGUACGAACGUUAUUCGGAAUUACUGGGCUUAAAGGGUGCGUAGGCGGCUCAGAAAGUUGAAUGUGAAAGCCCUCGGCUUAACCGAGGAAUUGCAUCCAAAACUACUGGGCUUGAGUGAGACAGAGGUGAGCGGAACUCACGGUGGAGCGGUGAAAUGCGUUGAUAUCGUGAGGAACACCGGUGGCGAAAGCGGCUCACUGGGUCUUUGCUGACGCUGAGGCACGAAAGCUAGGGUAGCGAACGGGAUUAGAUACCCUUGUAGUCC
Molecule: ribosomal RNA, 292 nt
Filed under: uncultured bacterium
Lineage: Bacteria
Description: partial 16S ribosomal RNA
Rfam family: Bacterial small subunit ribosomal RNA
Source: RNAcentral